Molecule: ribosomal RNA, 497 nt
Filed under: uncultured bacterium
Lineage: Bacteria
Description: partial 16S ribosomal RNA
Rfam family: Bacterial small subunit ribosomal RNA
Source: RNAcentral
GAUGAACGCUGGCGGCGUGCCUAAUACAUGCAAGUCGAGCGAAAAGACGAGGAGCUUGCUCCUCUGACGUUAGCGGCGGACGGGUGAGUAACACGUGGAUAACCUACCUAUAAGACUGGGAUAACUUCGGGAAACCGGAGCUAAUACCGGAAAAUAUAUUGAACAGCAUGGUUCAAGAGUGAAAGACGGUUUUGUUGUCUCUUAUAGAUGGAUCCGCGCUGCAUUAGCUAGUUGGUAAGGUAACGGCUUACCAAGGCAACGAUCCGUAGCCGACCUGAGAGGAUGAUCGGCCACACUGGAACUGAGACACGGUCCAGACUCCUACGAGAGGCAGCAGUAGGGAAUCUUCCACAAAGGGCGAAAGCUUGACGCAGCAACGCCGCGUGAGUGAUGAAGGUCUUCGGAUCGUAAAACUCUGUUAUUAGGGAAGAACAAAUGUGUAAGUAACUAUGCACGUCUUGACGGUACCUAAUCAGAAAGCCACGGCUAACUACGUG